GCGGGGGUAGAGCAGUUUGGUAGCUCGCAAGGCUCAUAACCUUGAGGUCACGGGUUCAAAUCCUGUCUCCGCA
This 73-nucleotide transfer RNA is filed under the name Centaurea solstitialis (yellow star-thistle). It matches the Rfam family "tRNA". Rfam says of the family: Transfer RNA (tRNA) molecules are approximately 80 nucleotides in length. Their secondary structure includes four short double-helical elements and three loops (D, anti-codon, and T loops). Further hydrogen bonds mediate the characteristic L-shaped molecular structure. tRNAs have two regions of fundamental functional importance: the anti-codon, which is responsible for specific mRNA codon recognition, and the 3' end, to which the tRNAs corresponding amino acid is attached (by aminoacyl-tRNA synthetases). tRNAs cope with the degeneracy of the genetic code in two manners: having more than one tRNA (with a specific anti-codon) for a particular amino acid; and 'wobble' base-pairing, i.e. permitting non-standard base-pairing at the 3rd anti-codon position. The record is from Rfam by way of RNAcentral. Lineage: Eukaryota; Viridiplantae; Streptophyta; Magnoliopsida; Asterales; Asteraceae.